This 381-nucleotide ribosomal RNA is filed under the name uncultured bacterium. RNAcentral describes it as "bacterial SSU rRNA". It matches the Rfam family "Bacterial small subunit ribosomal RNA", at positions 524 to 904 of the family's 1533-position model. The record is from RNAcentral.
UACGUAGGGUGCGAGCGUUAAUUGGAAUUACUGGGCGUAAAGCGUGCGCAGGCGGUUUGCUAAGACCGAUGUGAAAUCCCCGGGCCCAACCUGGGAACUGCAUUGGUGACUGGCAGGCUAGAGUAUGGCAGAGGGGGGUAGAAUUCCACGUGUAGCAGUGAAAUGCGUAGAGAUGUGGAGGAAUACCGAUGGCGAAGGCAGCCCCCUGGGCCAAUACUGACGCUCAUGCACGAAAGCGUGGGGGAGCAAACAGGAUUAGAUACCCUGGUAGUCCACGCCCUAAACGAUGUCAACUAGUUGUUGGGGAUUCAUUUCCUUAGUAACGUAGCUAACGCGUGAAGUUGACCGCCUGGGGAGUACGGUCGCAAGAUUAAAACUCAA